AGAACGAGCGCUGGCGGCAUGCCUAAUACAUGCAAGUCGAACGAACUCUUCGGAGUUAGUGGCGCACGGGUGCGUAACGCGUGGGAAUCUGCCCCUUGGUUCGGAAUAACAGUUGGAAACGACUGCUAAUACCGGAUGAUGACGAAAGUCCAAAGAUUUAUCGCCAAGGGAUGAGCCCGCGUAGGAUUAGCUAGUUGGUGAGGUAAAGGCUCACCAAGGCAACGAUCCUUAGCUGGUCUGAGAGGAUGAUCAGCCACACUGGGACUGAGACACGGCCCAGACU
RNAcentral lists this ribosomal RNA (283 nucleotides) under uncultured soil bacterium. RNAcentral describes it as "partial 16S ribosomal RNA". It matches the Rfam family "Bacterial small subunit ribosomal RNA", at positions 26 to 337 of the family's 1533-position model. The record is from RNAcentral.